GAUGAACGCUAGCGGGAGGCUUAACACAUGCAAGUCGAGGGGCAGCAUGGUGUAGCAAUACACUGAUGGCGACCGGCGCACGGGUGAGUAACGCGUAUGCAACCUACCCUGUACAGGGGGAUAGCCCGGAGAAAUUCGGAUUAAUACCCCAUAAAGAUAUCCAAAGGCAUCUUUAGAUAUUUAAAGCUUCGGCGGUACGGGAUGGGCAUGCGUAACAUUAGCUAGUUGGUAGGGUAACGGCCUACCAAGGCUACGAUGUUUAGGGGUCCUGAGAGGGUGAUCCCCCACACUGGUACUGAGACACGGACCAGACACCUACGGGUGGCUG
Molecule: ribosomal RNA, 328 nt
Filed under: uncultured Bacteroidota bacterium
Lineage: Bacteria; Pseudomonadati; Bacteroidota
Description: bacterial SSU rRNA
Rfam family: Bacterial small subunit ribosomal RNA
Source: RNAcentral